Molecule: long non-coding RNA, 1379 nt
Filed under: Dromaius novaehollandiae (emu)
Lineage: Eukaryota; Metazoa; Chordata; Aves; Casuariiformes; Dromaiidae
Description: lncRNA (ENSDNVG00000006569.1)
Source: RNAcentral
GCGACGCGCUGGACCCAGUGCUCCCCGCGGGCAGCGGGGGCCCCCAGGCCGGCCGGCUCCCACCCCYGCCCGCCGCCCCCCCUGCCGCACCUGGAUGGUACCUCCCGCCGGCGGCGCGGGCACUUUCUGAACUAGCCAGGAAGGGGCGACUCCGGGGGGGCGGGGGGCGCCGAAGUCUGUAUGGAAUUACCUGCGCCCGCGGUGAACUUGGCACCGGUGCAUGGAUGGGCAUCGCGUCCUCCGCGCUCGCCUCUAGCCCCGCCGGAGGAGUAAAAAACGUGGAUUCUCCGAAUACGCAUUGUGAUGACCGGCAAAUACCUUGCUGACUGAUCUCACGAGCGGAAUAUUUGGGAAGACUUUUGUGGGGAGUAGCCUUGGAGAGCUGGAAGAUGAAAGCUCCUAUUUCACACUUGAUUCUCUUGUGUGCUACUCUAACUCAGAGCUUGAAGGUUGUGACCAAAAGGGGAUCAGCCUUACUACUGUGUAACAACAAAGCCUUUAGGAAUGCUACUGAAAACAGUUUACAAUGGACAAUUAGAAGAUUUCUGGAUACUGGUAAUUCUUUGUUUGAUACCAUCUUUCAAAGACAUUGCAAACUUUUCGGACAAGAACAUCGUUUUCUCUAUUAUGAAGCUACGUUCUCAGUGUUCCAUCUGUAAUAAUCCAUAUUCUGUCAGAAUGACUACAGCCCUAAGAAGGAAGUGUUUGGGCUGUUUCUUGUAAUACCUGCCAUUUUACGUUAAACAACUUUUUGAAAAUGAGUUCCUAUAGCUAAUGGUGCUUUAAAAAWAUAUAUAUAUAUAUUUAUAAUUCAGGGUUUUUUUGGUCAAGUAACCACCCAUUUUACUAACUAAUUUUUCAUAUUUAUGGGUCUUUUUAUAUUCAGUGCUAAAAUGAGAGGUCACUGUGGGAAACUGCUGCCAGUUGGCCCUAGGUACAAGCUUGAGGUCCUUUUACUAUCUUCUCUGCAAUUUUCAGUCACUUACACUCAUUGUGUCUCACCUUCACCUUUGCAGACUAGAGCUUUUAAAAAAGGUCUAAUUAUGUGCUAUGCAAUUAAAAUUAUGUUAAUCAAAACUAAUAAUGUUUAUGAUACUAUAAUUUUUCUUUCUGACAGAGGUUUCAGCAUCAUAUGAAGUAUUUGUGGAAUUCUUUCUAAAAUGCUUUUUACAUUCUGGAACUCACAUGCUUUUAUCUUCUUGAAGAAAUCAAUAUUAUUUAAUUUCUUUUAUCAAACAAAUGGAAAACAGCUGUUAAAUUAACAAAUAUUUAAGAAGAUCGGUGAGGUUCCUAUCAACCAAUUCAUAUUGCAUUUUUAAAGUUCUCAAAAAAUGUGUAAGUUUAAUAGACUUUCUGGAAAUUCAAAUACAUCUCUUACC